Megalopta genalis is the source of this 345-nucleotide non-coding RNA. The record is from RefSeq and is a predicted model, not a curated record. Lineage: Eukaryota; Metazoa; Arthropoda; Insecta; Hymenoptera; Halictidae.
ACGGUGAACUCGUUUCAGCCGAUCGUCGCUUCGCUUGUCGUCUUCGAUGAACUUUGACGGUGUGGAUGCACUCUCUACUCGAACUGGCUGAAUUCUACGCUCGGCUUCGAUCCGGUUCUACCGAGUUAUUAGUGAAGCGUGUUAUCGUGGAAACACCGGUGAAAAGGAAGCCGAUACUGCCAUGGACGAGAAAUUUUGAUCGAGCGUGCUACUUAUACCUUUUGAAGAGUGCGAAUACAGGAUUAUUAAGACCGGAUGCAAUGGAAUAGUUUAUGUCGAUAUCUUUUUUAUGUGGACGAUAAUGCAUCGUCGACGUGACGGUUGGAAAUUGGGCGAAUUAGUUUG